RNAcentral lists this ribosomal RNA (227 nucleotides) under Cyclocybe salicaceicola. RNAcentral's name for it is "partial small subunit ribosomal RNA". Lineage: Eukaryota; Fungi; Basidiomycota; Agaricomycetes; Agaricales; Hemipholiotaceae. The record is from RNAcentral.
ACCUGUAUGGGGAGGAGUUCGGAUUGGGGGAAAUUGCCUUUAUAAAUAUGAAGAACAAAAGUAUACACUAUAUUAAAUUUAUAUUAAAAAUAUUUAUUAAAUAUUUUUCUAAUUAUUUUUAAUUAAGUGUAGUUAUUCUUAUUUGUUACUUAUGUAACUUUAUAUAGUGAUUUAACUCUUUUGUUGAGAUUUAUUAAUAUCGAUUAACCCUUCUGAGUAACAUCUCA